AUGAAAAUGUAAACAACAAAGAUCGGGCCCCGGUUCCGGACCCAGCGUACCCGCCCUACCAUGAGACGAUCACCUCCACUCGUCUCCCUCAUUUUGGCCACUAAAUGGCCUAUAUUAGCCCGUGUCGGCCAUAAUGCCCACUCUCCCGAACAAUAUUAUUUUAGCCGGACAUGAUUUCUUUCAAUAGCUGUUUAGGAUCUCAUGCAAGCGGAUAAUUCAUUAACUUCACAGAAUUAAUUUUUUUAUUUUUUUACAACACUGAAUGGAACAGGCGACGAAAUACUACAAGGAUAUUGCUAGUCGCCGCAAAAGAAACGCGCAAGGAGGCACUUUAGAGGCAAUCGUUGCGCCGAUUUAGGAACAAUGGCCCACACAAUUACUUAAAACUGGAGCUCUCUGGGGGUGGUAAGGGGCGAUAUAAAUGCG
Molecule: long non-coding RNA, 426 nt
Organism: Drosophila novamexicana
Lineage: Eukaryota; Metazoa; Arthropoda; Insecta; Diptera; Drosophilidae
Exons: 5
Source: RefSeq, a predicted model, not a curated record